This 490-nucleotide ribosomal RNA is filed under the name uncultured bacterium. RNAcentral's name for it is "partial 16S ribosomal RNA". It matches the Rfam family "Bacterial small subunit ribosomal RNA", at positions 29 to 507 of the family's 1533-position model. The record is from RNAcentral.
AGUGAACGCUGGCGGUAGGCCUAACACAUGCAAGUCGAACGGCAGCACAGGAGAGCUUGCUCUCUGGGUGGCGAGUGGCGGACGGGUGAGGAAUACAUCGGAAUCUGCCCAGUCGUGGGGGAUAACGUAGGGAAACUUACGCUAAUACCGCAUACGACCUUCGGGUGAAAGAGGGGGAUCGCAAGACCUCCCGCGACUGGACGAGCCGAUGUCGGAUUAGCUAGUUGGCGGGGUAAUGGCCCACCAAGGCGACGAUCCGUAGCUGGUCUGAGAGGAUGAUCAGCCACACUGGAACUGAGACACGGUCCAGACUCCUACGGGAGGCAGCAGUGGGGAAUAUUGGACAAUGGGCGCAAGCCUGAUCCAGCCAUACCGCGUGGGUGAAGAAGACCUUCGGGUUGUAAAGCCCUUUUGUUGGGAAAGAAAUCUUUCAGGCUAAUACCCUGGGAGGAUGACGGUACCCAAAAAAUAAGCACCGGCUAACUUCGUG